This 1216-nucleotide long non-coding RNA is filed under the name Strigops habroptila (Kakapo). RNAcentral describes it as "lncRNA (ENSSHBG00005001956.1)". The record is from RNAcentral. Lineage: Eukaryota; Metazoa; Chordata; Aves; Psittaciformes; Psittacidae.
GCUGGAGCACCUCCCGUAUGAAGACAGGCUGAGAGAGUUGGGGCUGUUCAGCCUGGACAAGAGAAGGCUGCGUGGAGACCUCAUAGCAGUCUUCCAGUAUCUGAAGGGGGUCUAUAAGGAUGCUGGGGAGGGACUCUUCCUUAGGGACUGUAGUGGUAGGACAAGGGGUAAUGGGUUCAAACUUAAACAAGGGAGAUUUAGAUUAGAUAUAAGGAAGAAGUUCUUUACAGUGAGGGUGGUGAAGCACUGGAAUGGGUUGCCCAGGGAGAUUCUGGAUGCUCCGUCCCUGGCAGUGUUCAAGGCCAGGUUGGACAGAGCCUUGGACCACAUGGUUUAGGGCAAGGUGUCCCUGCCCAUGGCAGGUGGGUUGGAACUAGAUGAUCUUAAGGUCCUUUCCAACCCUUACUAUUCUAUGAUUCUAUGAUUCUAUGACUUGUAAUUGCUUCCAAACAGCACUGGAUUCAGGUCUGUACACUUCAAACAAGAGUUUCUUGAAGAUCAUAUAUCAUAUCAUAUAUUAGGUCUUCCACCAAAUUUGCCUCAUCUUGUUGAUGCCUUUCCUGUAUUGGAGGGUGGGGAGCAAAACUUUAUGCAGUAUUCUAAAUGUGAUCUAACAAGUAUUGUGUUGAGAGGAUGAUAAUUUCUCUCAAUCUACUGGAUAUACUCCUGUUCAUACAGCCCAGCAUGUUUUUGGUCAUCUUUGCGUCCAGACCACACUGCAGUCUCAUGCAGUUCACUGUUCACAGAAACCUGCAGGGAGUUUUCCACGGAGCUCCACCCUAGCCAGUGUAUUCCCAGCCUGUGUGGUUGCCCUGGCCUUUUCCUUCCUAAGGGGAGGACUUGGCAGCUGUCCCUGUUGAAUUUUUUGUAGUUCCUGUUGGUCCUUUCUUCCAGCCUGCCUAGUUAACUCUGAAAUGCAAGGUGUCCCUGCCCAUGGCAGGGGGGUUGGAACUAGAUGAUCUUAAGGUCCUUUCCAACCCUUACUAUUUUAUGAUUCUAUGAUCCUAUGAAUGGCAGCCCUACUCUUGAGGGUUCUCCCAACUUAGUCUAAUCUUCAAAACUGAUCAGGAUGAACUCUACCACCUCCUUCAGGUCACUGGUAAAAUUGUUAAAUAGAGCAGGUCCUAGUUUACAUGUCUGCAUUACUCCCCUUAUUACAAGCCUCUAGGUGGACUAGAAGUAGACGACCAAUUAAGCACUAUCCUCUAAGCCCAGC